This 389-nucleotide ribosomal RNA is filed under the name uncultured bacterium. RNAcentral describes it as "bacterial SSU rRNA". It matches the Rfam family "Bacterial small subunit ribosomal RNA", at positions 29 to 443 of the family's 1533-position model. The record is from RNAcentral.
AACGAACGCUGGCGGCAGGCUUAACACAUGCAAGUCGAACGGGCACCUUCGGGUGUCAGUGGCAGACGGGUGAGUAACGCGUGGGAACGUACCUUUCGGUUCGGAAUAACCCAGGGAAACUUGGACUAAUACCGGAUACGCCGGAAACGGGAAAGAUUCAUCGCCGAAAGAUCGGCCCGCGUCGGAUUAGCUAGUUGGUGAGGUAACGGCCCACCAAGGCGACGAUCCGUAGCUGGUCUGAGAGGAUGANCAGCCACACUGGGACUGAGACACGGCCCAGACUCCUACGGGAGGCAGCAGUGGGGAAUAUCGGACAAUGGGCGAAAGCCUGAUCCAGCCAUGCCGCGUGAGUGAAGAAGGCCUUAGGGUUGUAAAGCUCUUUCGUUGGG